CCUACGGGAGGCAGCAGUGGGGCAUAUUGCACAAUGGGGGAAACCCUGAUGCAGCGACGCCGCGUGAGUGAAGAAGUAAUUCGUUAUGUAAAGCUCUAUCAGCAGGGAAGAAAAUGACGGUACCUGAGUAAGAAGCCCCGGCUACCUACGUGCCAGCAGCCGCGGUAAUACGUAGGGGGCAAGCGUUAUCCGGCUUUACUGGGUGUAAAGGGAGCGUAGACGGCAGUGCAAGUCUGGAGUGAAAGGCGGGGGCUCAAACCCCGGACUGGUCUGGCAACUGUACGGCUGGAGUGCAGGAGAGGUAAGUGGAAUGCCUGGUGUAGCGGGGAAAUGCGUAGAUAUUAGGAGGAAAACCAGUUGCGAAGGAGGCUUAAUGGACUGUAAAUGACGUUGAGGCGCGAAAGCGUGGGGAGCGAACAGGAUUAGAUACCCCAGUAGUC
RNAcentral lists this ribosomal RNA (440 nucleotides) under uncultured bacterium. RNAcentral's name for it is "partial 16S ribosomal RNA". It matches the Rfam family "Bacterial small subunit ribosomal RNA", at positions 338 to 795 of the family's 1533-position model. The record is from RNAcentral.